GGAAGGGUAACUCAUCGGUAGAGUGUCUUGCUGAAAACGAGAUGGCAACAGGUUCGAUUCCUGUCCUUUCCA
RNAcentral lists this transfer RNA (72 nucleotides) under Cyclobacteriaceae bacterium. RNAcentral describes it as "tRNA-Phe". It matches the Rfam family "tRNA". From Rfam's summary of the family: Transfer RNA (tRNA) molecules are approximately 80 nucleotides in length. Their secondary structure includes four short double-helical elements and three loops (D, anti-codon, and T loops). The record is from RNAcentral. Lineage: Bacteria; Pseudomonadati; Bacteroidota; Cytophagia; Cytophagales; Cyclobacteriaceae.